GUCUCCUCACCUAGUACUACUUCUUUAUUCUGGUCAUUUUCUCCCUUUUGGGGGUAGAAUUUCAAAGGAGGGGGGAAAAUGGUUAUUACCCAUAUAUUGCC
RNAcentral lists this non-coding RNA (101 nucleotides) under Heterosigma akashiwo. Lineage: Eukaryota; Raphidophyceae; Chattonellales; Chattonellaceae. The record is from RNAcentral.